AAGAAAAGGCAUGCACAGGCACUGGUCUGGUGCACUUCGGUGACCCAGAACACAGGUACGGAUGGCCAAGCUUUCAGCUCAGCUCACUGAUGCUAAUUUUGGUAGCUUCACUGCUCCUGCUCCAUUAUAGCCUAUGUGCUGACCAAUAUUUUUGCAGCGUACGAGUAUGUGAUAUUAAACAAAUCAUGUGCAUACAUUUCGUGAUAAAUACGUGCCUAAACGGGGACGUUCUGCCAUUCGCACUAAUACGAUUUUUCUAAACAUAAUAUGAACCGGAGGCACCGAGGGAUGAUUUACUGAUUAUAUAUUCCUGGCUAUUUUGCAGAUUGCUGCUUCUGGCGGGUUGUGGUUAGUAAAAAAAGCGUGACAAGGAUCUGGUUAGUAGGUUGAUCACAAGUUGUUGCCCGUUGUCACUGCCCAACGAAGCGUCACGGCGCUGCGCUCUCGAGUGAACUAUAGCUUGUUGGCCUUCCCGGCUUCCCCUGC
This 486-nucleotide long non-coding RNA is filed under the name Setaria viridis. RNAcentral describes it as "long non-coding RNA (SVIR_LNC006171)". The record is from RNAcentral. Lineage: Eukaryota; Viridiplantae; Streptophyta; Magnoliopsida; Poales; Poaceae.